UGCAAUUAGUGGGGAAUUUGCUCAGUGGA
Molecule: non-coding RNA, 29 nt
Filed under: Rattus norvegicus (Norway rat)
Lineage: Eukaryota; Metazoa; Chordata; Mammalia; Rodentia; Muridae
Source: RNAcentral